RNAcentral lists this transfer RNA (83 nucleotides) under Canis lupus familiaris (dog). It matches the Rfam family "tRNA". From Rfam's summary of the family: Transfer RNA (tRNA) molecules are approximately 80 nucleotides in length. Their secondary structure includes four short double-helical elements and three loops (D, anti-codon, and T loops). Lineage: Eukaryota; Metazoa; Chordata; Mammalia; Carnivora; Canidae. The record is from Rfam by way of RNAcentral. RNAcentral also lists the same sequence under 1 other name.
GCCUGGGUGGCUCAGUGGUUGAGCAUCUGCCUUUGGCUCAGGUCAUGAUCCUGGGGUCCUGGGAUCGAGACCCACCUCGGGCU